GGGGCUGAUUCUGGAUUCGACGGGAUUUGCGAAACCCAAGGUGCAUGCCGAGGGGCGGUUGGCCUCGUAAAAAGCCGCAAAAAAUAGUCGCAAACGACGAAAACUACGCUUUAGCAGCUUAAUAACCUGCUCUGAGCCCUCUCUCCCUAGCUUCCGCUCUUAAGACGGGGAUCAAAGCCUGCCUGGGGUUGAAGCGUUAAAUCUAAUCAGGCUAGUUUGUUAGUGGCGUGUCUGUCCGCAGCUGGCAAGCGAAUGUAAAGACUGACUAAGCAUGUAGUGCCGAGGAUGUAGGAAUUUCGGACGCGGGUUCAACUCCCGCCAGCUCCACCA
This 330-nucleotide transfer-messenger RNA is filed under the name Klebsiella pneumoniae. It matches the Rfam family "transfer-messenger RNA". From Rfam's summary of the family: Bacterial tmRNA, also known as 10Sa RNA or SsrA, is named for its dual tRNA and mRNA-like properties. Its role is to liberate the mRNA from a stalled ribosome. Lineage: Bacteria; Pseudomonadati; Pseudomonadota; Gammaproteobacteria; Enterobacterales; Enterobacteriaceae. The record is from RNAcentral.